Molecule: transfer RNA, 82 nt
Filed under: Afipia sp. P52-10
Lineage: Bacteria; Pseudomonadati; Pseudomonadota; Alphaproteobacteria; Hyphomicrobiales; Nitrobacteraceae
Rfam family: tRNA
About the family: Transfer RNA (tRNA) molecules are approximately 80 nucleotides in length.
Source: Rfam by way of RNAcentral
GCGGGCGUGGCGGAAUUGGUAGACGCGCUGGGUUUAGGUUCCAGUGACGAAAGUUGUGGGGGUUCGAGUCCCUCCGCCCGCA